This 253-nucleotide ribosomal RNA is filed under the name uncultured bacterium. Its description in RNAcentral is "partial 16S ribosomal RNA". It matches the Rfam family "Bacterial small subunit ribosomal RNA", at positions 524 to 776 of the family's 1533-position model. The record is from RNAcentral.
UACGUAGGGCGCAAGCGUUGUCCGGAAUUAUUGGGCGUAAAGAGCUCGUAGGCGGUCUGUCGCGUCGGCUGUGAAAACCUAGGGCUUAACUCUGGGCGUGCAGUGGGUACGGGCAGGCUAGAGUGCGGUAGGGGAGACUGGAAUUCCUGGUGUAGCGGUGAAAUGCGCAGAUAUCAGGAGGAACACCGGUGGCGAAGGCGGGUCUCUGGGCCGAUACUGACGCUGAGGAGCGAAAGCAUGGGUAGCGAACAGG